UCCCUGGUGGUCUAGUGGUUAGGGCUCUGAGCUUUCACAGCUGUGGGCCUGGGUUCAAUCCCUGGUCAGGGAG
RNAcentral lists this transfer RNA (73 nucleotides) under Bos taurus (domestic cattle). It matches the Rfam family "tRNA". From Rfam's summary of the family: Transfer RNA (tRNA) molecules are approximately 80 nucleotides in length. Their secondary structure includes four short double-helical elements and three loops (D, anti-codon, and T loops). Further hydrogen bonds mediate the characteristic L-shaped molecular structure. tRNAs have two regions of fundamental functional importance: the anti-codon, which is responsible for specific mRNA codon recognition, and the 3' end, to which the tRNAs corresponding amino acid is attached (by aminoacyl-tRNA synthetases). tRNAs cope with the degeneracy of the genetic code in two manners: having more than one tRNA (with a specific anti-codon) for a particular amino acid; and 'wobble' base-pairing, i.e. permitting non-standard base-pairing at the 3rd anti-codon position. RNAcentral also lists the same sequence under 4 other names. Lineage: Eukaryota; Metazoa; Chordata; Mammalia; Artiodactyla; Bovidae. The record is from Rfam by way of RNAcentral.